Molecule: ribosomal RNA, 253 nt
Filed under: uncultured bacterium
Lineage: Bacteria
Description: partial 16S ribosomal RNA
Rfam family: Bacterial small subunit ribosomal RNA
Source: RNAcentral
UACGGGGGGGGCAAGCGUUGUUCGGAAUUACUGGGCGUAAAGGGCUCGUAGGCGGCCAACUAAGUCAGACGUGAAAUCCCUCGGCUUAACCGGGGAACUGCGCCUGAUACUGGAUGGCUUGAAUCCGGGAGAGGGAUGCGGAAUUCCAGGUGUAGCGGUGAAAUGCGUAGAUAUCUGGAGGAACACCGGUGGCGAAGGCGGCAUCCUGGACCGGCAUUGACGCUGAGGAGCGAAAGCCAGGGGAGCAAACGGG